This 30-nucleotide non-coding RNA is filed under the name Rattus norvegicus (Norway rat). The record is from RNAcentral. Lineage: Eukaryota; Metazoa; Chordata; Mammalia; Rodentia; Muridae.
UACUCGGUGUACGUACGAAGUGAAUGGGUC